CACGCACGCACGCACGCACUGCUUCUCUCGCGCCGCCGCUGCCGCUCCCGCGUACACCGGCCUCGCCGUCCGCUAAGUCGGGAUGCUGCGGGCCUGUCAGCUGUCUGGCGUGAGCGCCGCCGCCCAGGUGAGCGCGGGCUCCCCGAGCGCGCGUAGGAAGUGAUUCCGGGCGGCAGCGGAGAGCGGGCCGGGCGCCGCCGGGUCGGGCAGGGGCGUGCGCGGGACCACAGGACGCCGGGACUGUCGCCGCUGCGGGGCGGGGACGGGGACGGCGAGGGCCAGCCCCCAGGCCCGGCGCCGGUUCAGCGCGGCGGGUCCAGAUGUGAAGGUCAGGUGGAGGACUACAGCUCCCGGCUGGCCGCGCGGCGGCCGGCCGCAUCACUAACGCAGAGGGGUCUGCGCUCCCCGGAGCCCGCGGCUCGAGGGUCCCGGCUGUAACCGGCCGGAGGGACUCGGGAUGGCUAGGAACACCUGGGGCUGCUCUUACUCUGCAGAGCCCCUUGUCGUGGAUGGAGCUGAAACCCCUGGUACUCGAUUGAGGAAGGACAGAGUCAUGACCUUGUGCUCAUUUUGAGAUGAGCCUGGGGUUCUGCGUCUCCAGGCGCUGGGACGACUGUGGCUGGCACUCAGUUUUGUUCUUUCUUUUCUUUUUAGUUUUUCAUAACUUAUCAAAGUAACUUCUUAAAAUUGAAAGUAAGAGACCUAUUUCCAUUGCUCACGGUUUGCAGAACAUCGUUAUUAUUUUGGCAGAAUGUUGUAUUGAAGAAAUGGAUAUUGUGACUCCUGUACUAAUCAAAUAAAAUCCCUAGCCUUAGUGAGUUAGAAAUCAUAAAAUUCAAGCCUUGUUUUUCUCUUCUAGUUAGCUUCUCUCCCUAUUCAUUGCUGGGGUAAAAUAAAAGAAGCAGCCUCUUCCACAGGGAAGUGGGGCCUUAUUAAUUUUCUAUUGCUACAAGUACCACAAAUUUAGCUCCUUAAAACAACACCCAUUGGUUGCCUGACAGUUUUUAGCCUGGAAGUCUUUUGUGAAUGAUUUGAAUUUUCAGAAUUACACAGGCUGCAAUCAGAAUUAUGGCCAUGCUGUGGUUCUUAUUUGGAGAUUAUUUUCCAAGCUUAUGCAGGUUGUUGGCAAAAUUAAGUCCCUUGCAGUUAUGGAAGUAAAGAAGAAAACAACACCAUUUUCUUGUUAACUCUUGUCAGACACUGCCCUCGGCUUAUAGAGGCUGCCAUCAAUUUCUUGCCAUAAGGCCUCCAUAGGCCAUUCAGUAAUAUGCAUAUUUGCUUUUUUGCAGGCUACCAGGAGCUUGUCUCUCAGACUUCAAAGUCUCCUAUUUCCCUGCCUUUGCUCUUUAGACCUCGUUUAAAAGGCUUAUAUGAUUAGGCUGGGCCCACCUCAAUAACUUUCCUUGCCAGUCAAUUCAAAGUCAACUUUUUAAAAAAAGUCACAGUAAAAUAUACAUACUUCCUAGGUCUCAACAAAGAUUUCUAACCGUCUUGAAAUCGCUAUCUUAUAAAAUUCUUUGGUUUAUUCUUUCCAGCUCCUCAAUCAUUUUAUAGAUUUGAUAGUAUAGCUUUGUGUAACUCUGCACCUUUGGCUUCUCUCAAGUACUCUCUUGGGUUCCAUCUUACCCUUUGUAUCUUCUUCUUCUUUUUUUUUUUUAACUGAGUCAACUUCUUGUUUGAACUUUUAUUUUUUAAAUAUUUUUUUUAAGUUGUGAGUGGUCCUUUAUUUUAUCUAUUUAUUUAUAUGUGGUGUUGAAAAUCAAAUCCAGUGGCUCCUCAUACAUGUAAGUGCUCUACCAUUGAUCCACAUCCUCAGCUUCGUUUUUGAACCUUUAAAAUACACUCUUUCUUCUCUAGUUAUAUACUCUUUUUUUUUUUUUUUUAAGAGAGAGGGGGAGAGAGAGAGAAUUUUUUAAUAUUCAUUCUUUAGUACUUGGCGGACACAACAUCUUUGUUUGUAUAUGGUGCUGAGGAUCGAACCCGGGCUGCACACAUGCCAGGCGAGCGCGCUACCGCUUGAGCCACAUCCCCAGCCCUAGUUAUAUACUCUUAUUAGGGAUGACAUUAACUCUCAGAACUUUAAUCCCUAAGCAGAUGACUCUUCAGACUCUUCUUUGUAGCUUUGUAUUCAACUUUUUGAAUUUUCAUUGAAGUUUAUCAGUUUAUACAUACUAUUCCACUUCAUCAAACCCCAUCUUAAAUGUCUUUCUGAUUUUACUUUUACUGAUCCCUUCUAGAUCAGUUCUUCUUUUUUAAAUGAGGCAACUUUUUUUUAAUAGCUUUAUUAUAUUCAUUAAUUUUUUAUGUAGUGCUGAGGAUUGAACCCAGGGCCUCACACAUUCUAGGCAAGUGCUUUACCACUGAGCCACAACCCCAGCCCAUGAUAAUUCUUUUUAAUGUGGAGUGCUUUACCACUGAGCUACCUCCCCCUGUUCUCUUCUGUUUUUAUUUACAGACAGGGUCUUGCUUAGUUGCCCAGGGUGGCCUUGAACGUGUCAUCCUCCUGCCUUAGCCUCCUGAGUCUGGGAUAAUAGGCCUGUGCCACCAUGCCAACUAGAGUCAGUCCUUAAUAUAGUGGUUGUAAGAGCUUUAGCAAACAUGCCAUAGCCAGGUGUGCUGGCAGAGGGCCUGUAAUUCCAGCUACUGAGGAGACUGAGGUAGGAAUGUUGCAAGUUCUAAGCUAGUCUGGACAACUUAAUGAGACCCUGUCUCCAAAUAAAAAUUUGAAGAAAAAAAAAAAGGACAGGCGAUUUACCUCAGUUGAUAGCACCCUGGAUUCAAUCCCCACUUCCACAAAUGAACAACAGAAAAAUUCCUGUCAUGCUCUUCAGUGACAUCCCAUCACACUUGGAAUGAAAUCUAGUCUCUACUUCUCCUGCCAGGCCCUUCAUGGCCUGGCUUUUUUUCAUAUCCCAUUUUUUAUACUCUGCCUCACUCUGUGGUGUCUCCAGCACAUGCCUCUCUUCAUGGGUGUUUCUCUGCCCCCAAACUUACCAUGCAUCUUUGUGUAGCUCACUCCCAUUGUGCAGGUAUUUUCUCAAAUAUAAGCUUCUCUUCAGAGAAGUCUUCCUUAUAAGGUAAACUUAAGUGCUGAGCGUGGUGGCAUGGUCCUAAAAUCCCGGCCUCUCAGGAGACUGAGGAGGAGGAGCCAGCUUGGACAUCUUAGCAAGACUUUGUCUUAAAAUAAAAAAGGGCUUGGGCUGUAUCAGUGGUAGAGUGUCCCUGGGUUCAAUCUCUAGUACUGCAAAAAAAUAAAAUAAAAAUUAAAAAUUAACAAAGAAAAUAGACUGAUGACCGCUCUUUUUCCUUGCACCACUGUUUUUACCCUCACCCUACUUUGUUUUACUUUGUAGCUCUUAGCACUACCUGACAUCAUAAUGUGUAUUUGUGUGAUUGCUACAUGUAACAUGCAAGUUCCACAAAGGGACCGUGUCCAUAUGGUUCGCUGCCAUUUUUUCCAGUACUUACAAUAGUCUCUGGCUCCUACUAGAUUCUUAAUNCUCCCCUCCCCUCCCCUCUUCUCUCUCUGCCCCCUCUACUGACAUUCGUUUGUCCCCCUUAUAUUAUUUUUCCCCUUCCCCUCACUUCCUCUUGUAUGUACUUUUGUAUAACUCUGAGGGUCUCCUUCCAUUUCCAUGCAUUUUCCCUUCUCUCUCCCUUUCCCUCCCACCUCUCAUCCCUGUUUAGUGUUAAUCUUCUUCUCAUGCUCUUCGACCCUACUCUAUUCUUAGUUACUCUCCUUAUAUCAAAGUUGUUCUCUUUCUUUUCCAGAAAUGAGCUUUAGAACCUUGAUCCUUCCUGAGUUUACUUCUCAGUUCUAGCGCUUUCUUUUUACUCUCAGUUGCAGUAUUGCUUCCUUCACAUGCACUGGUCUCUUCUGCGCGUACCUAAAAGAAGAGGGAGAAACGCUGUUGUCCUUCAGGGUCAACUAAGCCCGCCUGUUUAACUGAGACCAGGUUCCCAAGUCUAGGAUUAAAAUUGCCUGUAGUAGAAGUAGGCUGCCGACCACAUGUGCUAGAAAAGGUUUUGCAGAUGGUGCAGCCUGUUUGCCCAUACUGAUACUGGAAUCCUUUAAACCACUCCUCAUUUUCAUAUUCCUAGACUAAUGGCUUUCAAACCAUUUUGAAAUACAACUUAUAUAAUUUAGUACACCUGAGUGAGAUUAUAUAAAAUAUUCAUGUUAUGCACAGUGACCAAAGAAGUGUCACAUUUAUUUUUGUUUUUUCAAAACGAUCUAAACAAUUUAAAAUUAACUAAUAAAUCACAAUUUAGUUUUGCUUUUUAGGAUUGUUUUGUAAAAUGAUACAUUUCAGAAUUAACCAAAGUAUAUUUCUGUUUCAGGUUAGUUUACCCACGUAAGUAAACCACAGUGCAUCUCCCUUAGUCUAGGAUGCACAUUCGCUCUUCUGCAGUGCUGUUUAGUCUGCCAUUGCCAUAACUGAAGAGUAGUUUCCUCUUAGACAUAGAGUAUGUUUAUAUUAAGAGAUAAUGUUGCUUCAGUUUCAAUCUCAGUGAAUUUUUAAUGGAUGUACUUUUUAGCCUUAAUGCAUGAUUCUUUUUUUUUUUAAAUAUUUUUAUUUUUUAGUUUUCGGUGGACACAACAUCUUUAUUUUUUGUGUGGUGCUGAGGAUCGAACCCAGCACCCCUCGCAUGCCAGGCAAGCGCGCUACCGCUUGAGCCGCAUCCCCAGUCUAAUGCCUGAUUCUUAUAAAAUGUUUUAAGUUAACCAUAGUAAAAGUUACAUUAUGUGUUAAUCUGUAUACCAAGUGUGCAAGGGGCCACUAACUUCUGGAUGCCUUUGGUUUUGGUGGAAGGAAUCCUUAUGACAAGACACACCAAACAGUCAAUUAUGGCAACCAGCAGAGUCAGUGGAGGAAACCUGGAACCUGCAGGUAGGGUUCCUCUGAAGUCUGUUGUUACAGGUUUCACAUCGAGGUUGUGAUGUUGCAUAUGUUCAAGGUUGUGGUUUCACAUCGAGGUUGUGAUGUUGAUGUACAAGGUUGUGGUUUCUUACAUAUGUUCACUUCAAUUUGGUAGAACUAAGGGAAUAGAGGAUCCUGCAAGAACAUUACUAGAGGAUUGGAUGUUUUCUCUUCCUUUUUGGUUUGUUUUUUGUUAAAAUCAUGUUUCUGCAGGUUAGGAACAGCAGUGAUAACUUUAUAACUCUUAUUACAAAGUUAUAUGUUCAGGCAUAUUUCUUUGAAACAGUAUUCUUCUUUUUACAUCCUAGAUCAUUAUUAAUAAAAAGGAAUUCAGGAACUAAAAAGUAGCCAAUAUUUACAAAUAAAGAGAUACUGUAACAGUACUUAAGAGAGUACUCUGGAAGCCAACCUUGUAUUUGGCAAGGACUUCUUAGAUAUGACACCAAAAGCACAAGCAAUAAAAGAAAAUAGAAGAUAAAUUUUGUUUCAUCAAAAUUUCAAAUUUUGUGCACCAAGGGACACUCAAGAGUAAAAAGAAUGAGAAAAAAAUAUUUUCAAUUAGAGUCUAGUGUUCAGAAUAGUCAAAGAACUCCUAUAACUUAACCUUAGAAAGACAACCGAAAUAAAAAGUAGGUAAAGGCUGGGUGCAGUUGUGCAUGCUUGUAAUCCCAGCAACUCAGGAGGCUGAGGCAGGAGUAGUGUAAAUUUAAGGCCAGCUUUAGCAACUUAGUAAGUCCCUGAGUCAAAAUAAAAAUUAAAAAGGGCUGGGGAAUAUAGCUCAGUGGUAAAGUGCCCCUGGGCUCAGUCCUCAGUAUCAAGGGAAAAAAAAAUAUUAUGAUAAAGUGAUUUCUAUUCUUUUUUAUUUUUUUCAAAUAGAAGUGAAACUCCUUUUGUCACCAUUUUGGGUUUCUUUUGGCCAGAAAAGAUAAUUUUUUCACAUUUUAUUUUUUUUUAAAUCAGGGUUCAUUUUAUAAUUUAUGGUGUGUCAUUUAAUAGAAAUCAUUUUUUCUUUCAUGGUGGUACAUAAAAUAAAUUUCUUAUCAAUGUUUUAUGAAAAAAGUUAAAAUUUAAGGUAACCUUUAAAAAAGCAACAGUAUCCACAAAUAUUCCAAAAAAAUAGUGUGAGAGGACUAACCUUACCAGAUUAUAAACUUAAUUCUAAGAUUUACUUGUUAAAAGUUUGCUUUUAGUUAUGAAUAGGUAGAUCAGUGGGACAGAAUAGGAAGUCAAGGUUGUAGAAGAAUUUAGGUGGACACCAGCCUGAACUGGGCACUGGGGGCCACCAUCAUGGGACAUGGAAGAGCUCAAAGGCAGUGCUAGGCCUCCUGGUGCUGCUGACCCCAGCCAUGGUGACUGCCAUGCAGGGCCAGCAGAGGCUUCAGGGCAGACUGACAAGAGGCAAGAUCUCAAAGAGAGGCCAUUCCCCUUUGGAGAAACAGAUUAUUUUGACUGAGCAACUUGAAGUAGAAAGACGAUGUUAUUGUUAAAGGGAUCUCAGAAAAUGUGACUUGAAAUGAAGUGACCUGUGGAUGGAACAGCAGCAGCAUAGGGAAGGGGUGGUCUGGUAAAUAGCUUAUUGAGUCCAGCUUUUUUUUAUUUUUUGGGGGGGGUGGUCAUUGCCCUGUUAAACUUGUUCAAAUAAAGAACAGUGGAUUGUAUAUUCUAAAUUACCAAUGUAAAAAUCCCAUGUCUGGACACUUUUCCAAUGGCUACCUAACCUUGCUGUACGUAGUUAGAGACACUAGUUCUAGGACCUGGUCCUUUUCUCUUUCUGGCUAGCAUCUGGAAUUGCCCAACAAUUCUUUUUAUUUCAUAGAGAGAGGAAAAAAAUCCCUGUCUCAGUUACUUCUGUAGGCAAAUGUUCUGAAGAGUUUCUGUCCUCUCUGAGUGGUCCUGGUAGAAGCCCCGUUAAGGUCGGUGUCCAGAGCUUAGGAUUAUUACUGAAAAGCACUUUUUUUGUGUGUUAUGCAGUUUGUGUAAAUUGUCACAUACAAUACUUUUGUGUGAGUGGGGGGGGGGGCUGGGGAUUGAACCCAGGGCCUUGCACCUACUAGGCAAGUGCUUUGCCACUGAGCCCCAUCCCAGCCCUCUUAUAUAAAGUACUUUAAGAUGCGGAGUGCAAGCCGAGGGAGAAUGUGGCAUGAGGGAAUAUCCCCUGAAUAUUCAGGAUGUUGGUUCCGAUUGAUGACUUUGCCUUGAAAAGUACUUCUGACCCUGGGGGAAGGAGGAGGUUGAAUAGUAAUGUCUACUCUAGCAGAAGGUUGAUUCACAUCAGUGAAUCCACUAGAACACCUAUCUUGGAGGAGUGGGCGGAGGGUAGAGGGACCUGAAUGUGGAACUAGAGGACUGGGCCUUGGUGGACCUAUGACCAGAGCAGGGGCUUCUACAGUGGUGAGGAAGGAGCUGUGUUGUGAGUGGAGGAGCAUCUGUCCUUCUGUGACAAGUACCAGAAAUAGGUAGUAGCCAAUAGGAGCACCUUAGUUUCUUUGGCUCAUGAGUUCCUAUGUUAGGGUUUCUUUUUUCAAUCUCUGAAAGAAAGCAGGGAUGUAAGAUAGACCUAAAUAAAAAGAUAACUAUUAUAUUUAUUGACUUUAUAUGUUGUGUACAUAUUAUAUUUGCCAACUACAAAUUUAUACAACACAUUUGUACUAGUAAAAAUUGUUGUCAACCUCUAUCACAUUGUUUAAAAUUCUUACAUAAUUUUUUUUAAAAAUGAGAUCUGAUUGCAUUGCCCAGGCUGAACUCAAAACUUCUGGGCUCAAGUGAUCCUCCCAGUCAGCCUCUUGAGUAGCUGGGACUAUAGUUACAUUCCACCCAGUUUAAUUUAAAUUUUGUUGUUGUUGUUUUUGGUGUGGGGAUUGAACCCAGGGGCACUUAACCACUGAACUGCAUCUUUUUUUUUUUUUUUUCCCCAGUUGUGGAUGGAUAUAAUAACUUUAUCUUAUAUAUUUAUUUUUAUGUGUUUCUGAGAAUCAAACCCAGGGCCUCGCACGUGCUCUACCACUGAGCUACAACCCCAGCCCUGAAUGUAUCCUUUUUAUAUUUUAUUCCGAGACAGGAUCUCACUGAGUUGCUUAGGGCCCCACUAAGUUGCUGAGCUUGGCUUUGGACGCGCCAUCCUCCUACCUCAGCCUCCCAAGCUGCUGGGAUUUAUAGGCAGGCACCACUGUGCCUGGCUAAUUUUAAAUUCUUGAUGGUAACCCAAUAAAAAUUACAGAGAGAGAGAAGAGUGUGUGUGUGUGUGUGUGUGUACGUGUACAUACAUAUAUAUAUAUACACACAUGUAUAUACGCACACAUAAUGUGUUUUUAGCAUUGUAUUUUUCUUGAUGUAGAAUUAACGGUAGAAUGCAGAAAUCUUAAAUGUUCACUUUCUGAAGUUUGAUAAAUGCAAAUACUUGUAUGAACAUGUAUCUUUUGGGGACACGAUUCAACCCAAAAGCUGUAGGACCCUUUAGUUAGUAAAACAUUAGCAUCACUCAUAAAAGUUUCCUCAGGCCCCUUCCCAGUUACUCUCAAUCUCCAUACCCAUAAGCCACUGCUUGUGUUUCUUUCUACCAAGGAUUGCCUUUGCCUGUUCUGUACCUAACAUAAAUUUUCUCAAAUGAACCUUCGUGCAGGACUGUGAGGUCAUGAUUGUUUAUGUAAGUGGGAAGCUGGGAGAGCACAGGGGUAAUGUGCAGGAAGUAUUUCUGGAUAUCAGGCCAUAGCAUCAGCUGCCUGUGGCGAGGGGAACUGGAACAGAAGCAUAAGUGAGAUUUGUCACCUUUAAAGCUUUUGAAUUUUGAUUUGAAAUUUCAUAUUUUAAUUUAAUACUAGUAACUACUUCAGCCAAAUAAAAGGGAAAGUAGACAGUCAAGAUAAAAGAAUGUGGAAGAUGGAUUUUAAAAUAGGCUGCAAACUGUUCUCGUAAGUUAGGAUGUUCUCAGACUUGAGCGUUGAAUUUAGCUCAUCUUUCCUGGAGUCUGGUGUCCAUCAGGAUGCUUGCUGUUUGAUAUUCCAGGUAGCCCCUUAGCCACUGCCAACAGCACCUUAACUUUUGACCCCAGUGCCUAUUUGUACUCAAAGGUUAAAAAAUACAGCCUUACAUCAAACAGCUUCAGUGGUCUCCUGGUGUUUCCUUCCUAAGCCACAUGUGGGGUUACUGACUUAGAUGAUAGAGCUGUUCAGUUUCCUAUUACCUGCUUUGCAGAAUAGAAGGAAAACACCCCUUUCUGUUAAAAGCAGUUCAGAAAUGUUUUGAAUGCCACACUUUAGGUAAUAAUAGAAAUACUUUUAAAUACCAAUUAUAUAUGCUUUAUGUUUAAAUCAUCUGUUCGUUUCAAUAUGUAUUAAUACAGUAGAAGUUUGUGAUGUUUAUGUUUAGGCAGUUGUAAAUUGCAACUAUAUUCAGUCAUUUCAUGUGUGUUCUGUGAUCAUGUGAUCUGUUUUCUAAUAACUAAAAAUACUUCAAAAGGGAAAUUUGUGUUUUUCUGGUAUUCCUUAGGUAUAAUUUCUUUUUUUUCUUCUUUUAAUAUUUUAACAGAUGGGGCCUUUCUCUGUUGUUCAGGAUGGUCUCUAACUGGUGGGCUCAAGCAGAUUUUAAUUGAAUAUAAUUCUCUUGCCUCACUCCCCACCCCCAAGUAGAUGGGACUGGUGCAUGCAUUCAAGCCCACCUCUUAGACACAAUUUUAUUAAGGAACCUAGAGAAAGCAUUUCCCUCCUGACUUGUUGCAAUUUGAUCUUUCCACAUGGUAUUAAAAAAAAAUAUUUUAGGGUGGAGGGUGUAGCUUGGUGGUAGAGUGUUUGCUCAGCCUAUGUGAGCCCCUGGAUUCAGUCCCCGGCACCCAAAAAAACCCAUUUUUUAAAAAAAAUAUAUCAAUGCAAUUAGUUUGAAAUUUCAAAUUGAUAUAUGUGAAUAGUUUAUCAAUACCUUCCCCAAAUAGUAUUUGGAUGCUAAUUCAUUUGCUGAUUGUAAGGAAUUCACAGAUUGUAGGGAUCCACAGAUCGUUAAGAAACACUUGGGUUGUUUUUUUUUAAUACUUUAUUUUUAGUUAUAGAUGGGCACAGUACCUUCAUUUUAUUUAUUUAUUUUUAUGUGUAGCCGAGGAUCAAACCUAGUGCCUCACACAUGUGAGGCAAGCACUCCACUACUGAGCUACAACCCCAUCUCUGGGUUUCUGUUUGACUUGGGUUUGUGUUUUACUUUGAUUAAAACAAAUCAGGAGGGCUAGGGUUGUGGCUCAGUGGAAGAGCGCUCGCGCCUUGUGUGAGGCACUGGGUUCGAUUCUUAGCACCACAUAUAAGUAAAAAUGAAUUUUUAAAAAAGCUCCAUCAACAUCUGAAAAUAUAUUUAAAAAAAAUCUGGAAAUGUGUUUCAUUGCAAAUUGAUUUUUCCCCCCUUUUUUGUGGUACUGGGGAAUUGAACCCAGGGGCCCUCUACUACUGAGCUACAUCCCCAGACCUUUUUAUUUUUCAUUUUGAGACAGGAUCUGGCUAAGUUGCUGAGGCUGAACUUGAAUUUGUGAUCCUCCUACCUCAGGAUCCCAAGUUGCUGGGAUUAUAGGCAUGCACCACACUGUGCCUAGCAGAAAAUUGAUUUUUGAAAAUAAAAUAAUAUUUUGUUCAGUGAAGAUAUUAGUAAUGAAAGUAUUAUUUUUGUAUUACUAACCCUGAUAACUUCCCAGCACCUCUAACUGUGCUAAAACUGUGGUGUUUUCUCUUCUAGACUUGUCUCUGUGGAAAGCUUGUCCUCCGUCCAUUGCGACCAUGCCGAAGAUACUCAACUUCUAGCAGUUCUGGGUAUGCAGUGCCUCCUUGAAACCUAGCUUUUUACUGUAUGCAACUGAGUGGUGUAUAUGUGUGUUUUCUUUGAAUAUAGGAAUCGCUACUUAAAACCUUUUAUUAAGGAACACAGUCUUUCCCCUUACCCAUGGUUUCAGUUAACUGUGGUCAACUGAGAUAACAUCUCACAUGAUUACAAGAAGGUUGAGCUCAGUAGAAUCAUACUCGGAGAGAAAGAGACCAUAUUCACACAACCUCCUUUAUAGUAUAUUGUUAGAAUUCUUCUAUUUUUUUCUUAGUUAUUGUUACCCUCUUAACUGUGCCUAGUUGAUAAGUUAAGCUUUAUCAUGGAUAUAUAUGUUUAGAAAAAAUAGCAUAUGUAAAUUCAUUACUGUCUGAAACUUCAGGUAUCUUCUGGUGGUUUUGAAAUGUGUCUCCCCUGAAUAAAGGAGACUACUGUACGUACACUGAAACUUGGUUAUAGUAUUUUUGGAAUAUCUUCUGGAGCAUUAUUUAUUGUAGAUGAAACUUUGCUAAUGCUGUUCCUUUUGGAUAGUGGUAGUUGGAAGGCAUUGAGGCAGACCCCCCACCCCACCCCGCCCUCCCAGGGUGGUCUUCCAUGCUAUAGCAGUAGGUUCCCAUCCUGAAAGCAGCAUGUUAUAACAUAGGAAAAGUUUGUUAAUUCUGUUUGAUAUUUUUUCAUCUUAUGUUUGUAAAGGGUUUACUUUAUUGUAUUUAUACAAGUGCUUAAUUAAGGAACAGGAGCUUUAAACGUUAUUAAUAGUUCUUUUUAGGGGAGCCAGAGGAAAUAAUGUGAACAUCUUGGGUUUUAAGUGUUAAAGAUAGAUCGCUUCAUUCCUUCUGUCCUAGAUAUUAUUGUUUUUUGUUACCAAUAAAUAAAUGUUAUUCUAUUGCAAACAUGUUAUAAAUAAAUCAGGAAGCUGGGUAUGGUGGCACAUGCCUGUAAUUCCAGCAACUGGGGAGGCUGAGGCAGGAUAAUCAAGUUUGAGACUAGUCUCAGUUACGUAGUGAAACUCUGUUUCAAAGUAAAAAUAAAAAGGAUUGGGGAUGUAGUUCAGUGGUAAAACAUCCUUAGGUUCUAUCCCCAGGAUUAAAAAAAAAAAAAAAAAUCAGGUAAAGGUGAUGCUUGGCUGUGAUGGUGAAUCGGGGUAGAGAAGCAGAAGUCAGAGGUCUUUGAGAUUCCUUCCCUGAGGCAAGUAGAUGCAGGAGAGCCAGGAAAUAAUAUUUGUAUGUGCUUCCAUUCCUUCCACCCAGGUUGACUGCAGGCAGGAUCGCUGGAGCGGGUCUGCUGUUUGUUGGUGGUGGUAUUGGAGGUACCAUCUUAUAUGCCAAGUGGGACUCCCACUUCCGAGAAAGUGUAGAGAAAACCAUUCCUUACUCAGACAGACUCUUUGAGAUGGUUCUUGGUUCUGCACCUUAUAACGUUCCAUUGCCAAAGAAGCCGGUAAGAGUUUUAAACAUUAUUUCAUUGUAUCCUAUGGAAUAGUUUUAUAAAGCAAGCUGUUUUUAUCUUGAAAAUAGUACACAUGUCUAAUUCAGUGCAGCUUGCCAGGUGCAUGCUAGUUCUCUUCAAACUGAGCUGGUAAUAAUCUGCACAGGUGAAUUCUAGCCUUUGGGAGUUUCACAGAUACUCUGAAUGUGUGCCACAAGGAUGAUCACUAUGCAUUCUACAUGGGUGACUGGAGGAGGUGUGCAUGGCAGAGGUAACUGGGUACAGUGUGGUUGAGGGCAGCCCGUAUCCGAGCAGCUCUCAGGCUCUUACUUGGAACACUAAAAAUAUAGUGGAGACUGGCCAUGACACCGAACCCCCUGGUGUGGGCAGCAGGGGUUCUUUUCAGACUCUAAAACAGAGUCACAGAAUUUUCAGCUAUAUGCUGGUUGGUUGACAGGAAUAUUUUCCAUGUUCUUUAGAGUUCCACUACCCCGCCCCCCACCAUGCUUAACAUUUUGGCGGGGGGUAGGGGGUAAAUUAAACUCAGGGGCACUCACCCACUGAGCCACAUCCCCAGCCCUAUUUUGUAUUUUAGUUAGAGACAGGGUCUCAUUGAGUUGCUUAGUACCUCGCUCUUGCUGAGGCUGGCUUUGAACUUUCUAUCCUCCUGCCUUAGCCUCCAGAGCUGCUAAGGAUUAUAGGUAGGCACCAUCACACCUGGUGAGGCUUAACUUUUUAAAAAAAUCAUCUUAAAUAUUUCUUCACUGAAACACAGUUUCUUCUUUAAACACACACACACACACACACACACGAGCAUGGAUUUUUGGCGUUGGUAUUAGGCAUUUUUUUAUGCAGUGAAGCUGGAUAUGGCUUAUCAGUUCUUCCUUAGGAAUUGUGUGGUCUUCUUUUCUCCAGAAUCUCACAUGGUCUUGACAAAGCCUGUAACACAGAUAAUAUUUGGAAAAACAGAUAUUCUCAAAUUUCCUCUCUACUCCCACCCCAACUCCACUUUUUCAAGUAUUCCUUGCUAGUCUUUUGCAUCAUUUAUACUUUCGUUGGAACUUUAAAAUUUCUGUGGCAGAGGGAGACAGUUGCACAGGGGCAAAGAGCAGAAUCCUGUGGAUUUGAUCUAAAAUCCUGGGUCUAUUUUAAGCUAUAGCACCCCAGAGAAAUGACUGGGAGCAGUUCUGGGGGAACACAAUUCUGGGGUCAGACUGAACAGUGGAGAGCAGUGGGAUCUGUUUGCUCAGCAGGACUUCAGGUGUCCUUCUUUGAAGAUGAGUGCCCUCUCUCUAGAUGACUGUGGGCUCCUGCCAUUCUGCUUAGGUAUCUCGCAGAGUAUUGCCACUUGGAUAGCUGGGGAUGGCUACACUGCACCACCUCAAAAUUCACAUUCCUCGUGGUUUGCUUUUUUUUGGUGGUCCUGAGGAUUAGCUCCAGGCCUUGAGUGUCACUGCACUCCACUCCCAGUCCUCUGAUUGGCUUUUUGAAUUGAAGGUAGUCCCAGGCUGUCAGGUUGCUGGUGUAGAAUUCUCUUCAUCAUUAUCCUUGUUCUCCUAAGUCUCCUAUCUUGUUUAUAUUCCUUUUCUUUUGUCACCACUGUCUUCACCCUAUUCUGGCCUUUGUCACUUUAUAUCCAGUUAUCUUCUGAGCUAGACCUGUUGCUCUCUCCACAGUCUUUCCCAUCUUCCUCCCAGUCUCCACCCCUAGAUUCUCCUUCUGAAACAAUCUAGGCCGUUCUCAUGUCAGUGCCAGAGAGCCUUGUAAAAUCAGCAUUAUCACAUUCAUGAUGCCACUUAUUAGGAGUGUUCACACAUUUUCUAUUCUUUAACCACAGACUGAAAGGUAGAGUGCCCUUAGAGGUCGUUGCACUCUGAGUAAGGAGCACGCAGCCAGCAGUGGUUGCGGGUCAGCCUAGUCCUGGCCGAUGGGGCCCUUUGUUGCUGGGUCAAUGGUCUUUGCUUGUGCGUGGGCUGCCAUGUGGUACCCCGGCAGUCUAGGUCUGAAUGGUUCUCGUGUAAACCCUCAGCUUUAUUCUAGUUGGCCUUACAAAAAGGCCUUGUAUUUUCCACACCUCUGCGUUAGUAAAGUGGCAGUUAGUUCCAGGCCCUGUUCUAAGAGCCCUGGUUACAGCAGAGAAGCAAACAGAAGUCCCUUGAAUUUGCGCCCUUUCCUGAGGGCGUCUUCCACCCAGGGGCUUCACUUCUUUGUCUCUGUCCUUCACUGCAUGGGCCUAUGUGCAUCUGCUCUUCAGCUGAAUUUUCAUGGUAUUAGUGUUUUUAUUUUUAAAACAUUUAUUCUACUAUUGUGCAUUGUUACCAACUUGUUGCUUUCAAAAACUAUGCAUUUCAUAUGCAUUUUUAUGUUAACCCUUUUAGUAACAGCAUGAUUAUUUACUAAAACAGAAUCUUUGGGUGAUGUGGAAUAGGACUUAUCUAAAUGAAUACAUGUUAUGUUCUUUGGUGAAACUUUUUUUUUAAAUAAAUACUAUUUAUUUAUUUAUUUUUAUGUGGUGCUGGGGUUGGAACCCAGGGCCUCACACCUGUGAGGCAAAUGCUCUACCACUGAGCUACAGCCCCAGCCCCUUUGGUGGAACUUAAUAUUAAAAAAUGUCAUUUCUCAUAUCUAUUUCAUUCAAAUUUUUCUUAAAUAUGAAUAUAUUUGAGAGAAGUCCUUUUAUUAUAUAUACACACAUAUAAUCACUAUCACGGCUCUAGUAAGAAUUCUAAUGGAUUUUCCUAAUUGGUAAGGAAGUAGAUGAGAUGAUUUUAGUUUGGUCCCCAGUACUACCAAAAAUAAAUAAAUAAGAAAGAAAUUUUGUUAAAGUUCAUAUGGACAAAGUAAUGACGAGCCAAGAACAUUCUGGAAAAGUGUUGAGGUAGGGAGGGUCAGAGGACACUUUUCCAAAUGUUGAUUUUGUUAUAGUGCUGCUUGAAUGAAACAGGGUUUGGCCUAGGACUAGAAAUGAGGAGUCAGACGCAGUGGCACCCAUCUCUAAUCAGCUGCUCAGGAGGCUGAGGCCAUAGGAUUGCAAGUUUGAGGUCAGCCUGAGCCACUUAGAAAGACCUUGUCUCAAAAUAUAAAAUAAAGGGCUGGGGCUGUAGCUCAGGGGUAGCACCUGCCUUGCACAUGUGAGGUACUGGGUUUGAUCCUCCACACCACCUAGAAAUAAAUAAAUAAAGAUGUUGUAUCCGUCUACAACUAAAAAAAAUAUUUUAAAAAAUAGAAAUAAAAAAUAAAAAUGUUGGAAUGUAGGUCAGUGGUAGAGCACCCCUGGGUUCCAUACCAGUGCAGGGGGGUGGGGAGAAGAGUAACAGCUGGACUGUGGUAGAGAAGCAGUGCAUGAGGCCUGGGGUUGGAUCCCCAGCACCACAAGGUAGUCAGUCAGUCAGUCAGUCAGUCAAACAAGCCCUCAGCAGUGGCUGCUCUUCAGGUAUGUGGACAAGGACUUUCAUUGCUGUGAUGUUUGUAGAGCCAAAACAAAACAGGAAAUAAUUGAAUGUCUGUAAGUAAACUAGUUGACUAAAUUGGGGAUACCCUUACUUGAGGAUAGUACGCAACCAAACAUUUCUUGACUUGGAAGAGAAUGUUCGUUAUAUAUUGUUGAGUGGAAAAAAAAUCAGAUUACAUAUUAUACACACACAUAAUUUUGCUUUGUUACUUGGCAAAUAUGGCAUUUGCUUAAUAUUGUUUUCAUAGAGUUGUUGAUGCAUUUAGAAAGCUAAAUUUAAAAUUUGACAAAGUCAUAAAAAUUAAAACAUUUAAACCUACAGUUGCCUAAAUUCAGAAUUUUAACUACUAUCUGUGAUUAUGCAAUGCAUACUUUUGGCCCAGAGUCUGUUGCUGAAUUUCUGAAACUUUAACCCAGUGCCCUUUGAGACUUUUUUUUUUCAAAACAUUAUUUUCUUAUAAUAAAAAUAAUACCUAACAAAAAGCUGGAAAAUACAGAAAAUCUGCAAGAAAUAUGAUUACCUGUGAUUUUGCUCUGCAGUGCAUAUUGUGUUGUUUCUGCUACUCUUUAUUUUUCUAAACAUAAAGUUUUAUCAACAUUUUUUUACUUAUUUAAACAUAAUGUUUUUUCAAAAUUUAGCAUUAUAUCACAACUUGUUUUCAAUCUUGCCAUUUGUUCUCACGAACUAUUUUUGAAUGGUGACAAAAUGUUUAAUUUUCUUACAUUUUAACUGGCACAGGUUGCAUUCAGUAGCACAUCAUUUAAAAAAUAUUAUUAUAAAAUAUAGUUAACAUUUAUAUUAAAAAAUGAUUAUCAUUUCCAUUUUUAAAAAGCUACAGUGGGAGCUGGGCAUGGUCGCACAGGCCUGUAAUCCCAGCAGCAUAGGAGGCUGAGGCAGGAGGAUCGCGAGUUCAAAGCCAGCCUCAGCAAAAACUAGUUACUAAGCAACUCAGUGAGACCCUGUCUCUAAAUAAAAUACAAAAUAGGGCUGGGGAUGUGGGUCAGUGGUUGUGUCCCUGAGUUCAAUCCCUGGUACAAAAAAAAAAAAAAAAAACCCUACCGUGGAACUUCGUGGAACUUCUGUAUCUAAUCAAGAUGGAACAAAGGGAACUGAUUUAACUUUGCUGCUUGAAAAAUCUAUCAAACUGGACAAAAUACAAAUAAACUAAUUACAACAUGUAAAACGCUUUUUUUUUUGGUGGGGGUACAUCUACAGCCCUUUAAUAAGUUUUAUUUAGAGACAGGGUCUUGCUAAGUUGCUUGGGGCCUUGCUAAAUUGCCGAGGCUGGCUUUGAACUCUUGAUCCUCCUGCCUUAGCCUCCCGAGCUGCUGGGAUCACAGGCAUGACCACUGCACCCGGCAUAAAGCACUUUCGUGUUUUGUGUAAAACAUGUUUUCAGACUCUGUCCACCAAUAGAAUAGUUGUGCUAGAGGGGAAUUGGAGGUGAUCCCUAGGACUGCCUGCUCUUGGUGCCUGCUGGGUUUUUCCAGACUGUAGCAUAGGAGGAUAAUCCCAAGCAAAACCUGGGAGUCUACAGGGUGGAGCAGGUGGAGCUGUGUCUAGGGAGGUCAGGGUGACUGCAGCUUAGAGGGUGGAACACUAGAGAGAACUGCCAGAAAAGAGGCCCAUGGAGAGAAGCCAUCUCUGGAGAGGGAAGGAAUUGCCAUAGGACUCUCCAGGUCCUGAUGGCUUCACAGUGAUGUCAGCCAGACUGGUUUUGGAGGUUCCAGUCCAUGACCAGUUGGAUGUGUUGCUUCUGAGCCUGAGGUGAAGGAGUGUGUGACGGCAAAGUGGCUCACCUUAUGGCAGGGACGUGGGGGAGGGAAGAGGACCAGCUGGCGAGGCACGGAACAACCAUUCGUUGACAUUAGUUUGCCUGUUACAGUUAGUGCGUGUUUCCUGAUUUCAAAAAUAACUUUUUUCUUUGCAAUGCUGGGGAAAAAUAACAUUUUAAUAAAAAAGAAAAUGGUUAUAUUUCUAGUUGAGAAAAUGGACAUAUUUCUAGUGGUAUAUUUCAGAACCCCUUCUUUUCAGCAGUCAUCUUAGGGAUUCACAAGACCCACUGCCAAGUCCUGGGAAAAAGUAGGAACAGCAUAGGUGGUCAGCGUAAGCAUUCCUCACUCAACAGUGUUCUCCAGCAAGUCACCUGCAGUCCUCUUGAUGAAUAGUGCCUUACGCUGAAGGUGGGUGGUAACUGGGAAAGAGGAGAGCAGGUCUUGCUUGCAAAUCAGUCAUAUAACUUAGUGUGUAGUCACAGGAAUCCUGGAGAACAAAGAAACAGCUGGCUUUCAUUUUGACUCCAUGCCUCUAACCAGUCAUCUACUUCUGAGCCUUGUGCCGAAGACACCGUGAUGUGAUUCAGGAAGGAGUGGAAAUACCUUGAUGUCGUGCUUGUGAAAAUAGUGGCAUGUGGAAGGGAGGCCAAGCGGACCCCUCAGCUGUCUGAAAAGAAGCCUUUGGUGCUGCUGAAAUGUGGGCGAGGGAUGAUGACUUCUCUCAGUUUGGUUAAUAAAACAUAAGUUGCAAAUGUUGAUAACUUUAUUUUAAAAGCCUGAAAGAUUUGACUUUAAAUAUUACUCUAUGCUACCAAUUUUAAAAACAGGAUUACAUCUUAAAUGUUUAAUGUUUUCAUUUCCAAGAUUCAAUCCGGUCCACUAAAAAUCUCUAGUGUGUCAGAGGUAAUGAAAGAAUCCAAACAGCCUGCGUCACAGCUCCAAAAGCAGAAGGGAGACACUCCAGCCUCGACAACAGGUACUCGUGUUAGAACCAUUCCUCUGAGACCAUAGGCCAUGAGUCAUUUCAGUGCAUUUAGACCCAGAG
This 18409-nucleotide long non-coding RNA is filed under the name Marmota monax (woodchuck). The record is from RNAcentral. Lineage: Eukaryota; Metazoa; Chordata; Mammalia; Rodentia; Sciuridae.